ACACAUGCAAGUCGCACGAGAACGCUCCGGCUUUGCCGGGGCAAGUACAGUGGCGGACGGGUGCGUAUCGCGUAGAUAACCUGCCCUUAGGCGCGGGACAAUCACGGGAAACCGUGGCUAAUACCGCACGUCGUCUGGGCCCCGCAUGGGGACCAGAUGAAAGCUUGGGGUUACCCAGGCGCCUUGGGAUGGGUCUGCGUUGGAUUAGCUUGUUGGUGAGGCAACGGCUCACCAAGGCGACGAUCCAUAGCUGGUCUGAGAGGACGAUCAGCCACACUGGGACUGAGACACGGCCCAGACUCCUACGGGAGGCAGCAGUGGGGAAUCUUGCACAAUGGGGUCACCCCCGAUGCAGCCAUGCCGCGUGGAGGAAGACACCCCUAUGGGGCGUAAACUCCUUUUCUGAAUGAAGAAACCCCUGUAGGUUCAGGGCGCGACGGUAGUUCAGGAAUAAGCACCGGCUAACUCCGUGCCAGCAGCCGCGGUAAUACGGAGGGUGCAAGCGUUGUCCGGAAUCACUGGGCGUAAAGGGUGCGCAGGCGGGGCAGCAAGUCGGAGGUGAAAGCCCGUGGCUCAACCACGGAAGUGCCUUCGAAACUGUUGCUCUUGAGUCCCGGAGAGGUUGCCGGAAUUCGUGGUGUAGCGGUGAAAUGCGUAGAUAUCACGAGGAACACCAGAGGCGAAAGCGGGCAACUGGACGGGUACUGACGCUCAGGCACGAAAGCGCGGGGAGCAAACAGGAUUA
Molecule: ribosomal RNA, 745 nt
Filed under: uncultured bacterium
Lineage: Bacteria
Description: bacterial SSU rRNA
Rfam family: Bacterial small subunit ribosomal RNA
Source: RNAcentral